Molecule: ribosomal RNA, 468 nt
Filed under: uncultured bacterium
Lineage: Bacteria
Description: partial 16S ribosomal RNA
Rfam family: Bacterial small subunit ribosomal RNA
Source: RNAcentral
GACGAACGCUGGCGGCGUGCUUAACACAUGCAAGUCGAACGGAAAGGCCCUGCUUUUGUGGGGUGCUCGAGUGGCGAACGGGUGAGUAACACGUGAGUAACCUGCCCUUGACUUUGGGAUAACUUCAGGAAACUGGGGCUAAUACCGGAUAGGAGCUCCUGCUGCAUGGUGGGGGUUGGAAAGUUUCGGCGGUUGGGGAUGGACUCGCGGCUUAUCAGCUUGUUGGUGGGGUAGUGGCUUACCAAGGCUUUGACGGGUAGCCGGCCUGAGAGGGUGACCGGCCACAGUGGGACUGAGAUACGGCCCAGACUCCAACGGGAGGCAGCAGUGGGGAAUAUUGCACAAUGGGCGGAAGCCUGAUGCAGCAACGCCGCGUGCGGGAUGAUGGCCUUCGGGUUGUAAACCGCUUUCGCCUGUGACGAAGCGUGAGUGACGGUAAUGGGUAAAGAAGCACCGGCUAACUACGUG